GAGCCUGGGAGGGAAGGGAGGAGUAUCAGAGAGCUGAAACAGUGUCUAGUAAAAGGACCAUGGACACCUCUCCAAACUCAGCAAACAGGGCAACACUGCGAUCUUGAGAAAGCGUUUGUGGUUCAAGGAUGAGGGCCAACACCUUCUAAUGCACCAAAUGCUUCAUUUACAUGGUUUUCUACAGACAGCAGUUUCCUCACCUUUGGAGAAGAGUCAUGCUUAACACAAUGUGAGAUAACAUCCAGUUUAAUCCACCCGUUCUAAUCUUCUGAGUAGGUGAAGCUAUCCGGAAAAGGGAAGCCCUUUGUCCUCAGAGACGUCUGGGGACCAUCCUUCAUGACCUGCAGACUACACUCACCCAUUCGUCUGGUCAAGCCUGGGCUAGACUGCAGAAGCAACGGCUCGUCCACGCCUGCCCCACUUUUGGGUACAUGGGUUGAUCCAAAUAUAUAGGUUCUUGGUUAAAGACCCACCAUCAAGCCUCUUGGAAGUAUGGCCCAAGGAUGUUUUUUAAAAUUCAAAUCUAUUAAUAGGUCAUAGUAAAAGUGAUGGCUUACUGGUU
Mesocricetus auratus (golden hamster) is the source of this 562-nucleotide long non-coding RNA. RefSeq lists it as uncharacterized. NCBI's taxonomy places the organism in Eukaryota, Metazoa, Chordata, Mammalia, Rodentia, Cricetidae. The record is from RefSeq and is a predicted model, not a curated record. The transcript is spliced from 4 exons.